This is a long non-coding RNA of Candoia aspera, 616 nucleotides long. RefSeq lists it as uncharacterized. The transcript is spliced from 4 exons. The record is from RefSeq and is a predicted model, not a curated record. NCBI's taxonomy places the organism in Eukaryota, Metazoa, Chordata, Lepidosauria, Squamata, Candoiidae.
UGGGUCCAGCUUUAGCUUGCGGCAGCGCUGUGAAAGAGAUGGGCCCGGCAGCCACUGGGGUCAGCCCGGAUCGGGCCGCGCCACUCAGAGCUCGUAGGCUCUCCCUGCCAAUGGAGUAUGACUCCUACUAACAUUUCUCUUUAUAUGCGAUUCAUCGCCACAAUGUUUAGGAAGGCCACAAGCACUAUUUUUAUCAGGGUUUCUCGUCAUAUUCGAAUUUCCUUAUUUCUAAUCAAAGAUUUAUGAUACUACCUUAAUUCUGUCACCUUCAGAAUGUCUGAAUCAAAAUUUCGGGAGGUGUUGCCCAAACACGUUCAUGGUGAAAAUGGGGUACUUCUAACUCUUGAAGACAACGUUCUGCUUCAGAAACAUCUCCUGAAAGAAGAUCUGGCUUUAGAUGUAGGAACCAUUAGGCACAUGCUGCAUCCAAACACACUGCGCCAAUCCUUGACUGGCUGCACCAUUACAAGCUGGAAGACUAUUUCAUGUAACAUCACAAAUACAUUCUGCAUUCUUUCCCUACCACCCAACUCACAGCAAGCAGCAAAGAACUAUUGCUACCUUCUAUUGUUUACUUGUUUUCUUAAAGCUGCAGUAGAAACAGUAAAAUGUAACA